This 494-nucleotide ribosomal RNA is filed under the name uncultured bacterium. Its description in RNAcentral is "partial 16S ribosomal RNA". It matches the Rfam family "Bacterial small subunit ribosomal RNA", at positions 28 to 507 of the family's 1533-position model. The record is from RNAcentral.
GACGAACGCUGGCGGCGCGCUUAACACAUGCAAGUCGAACGGAAAGGCCUGCUUUCCCUUGUGGAUUGCGGGUACUCGAGUGGCGAACGGGUGAGUAGCACGUGAGUGAUCUGCCCCCAACGUGGGUAUAAGCCUGGGAAACUGGGUCUAAUUCCCGAUAGGACUGCAGGGUGGUGCCUGUGGUGGAAAACGAUUUUCUAGUGGUUGGGGAUGAGCUCGCGGCCUAUCAGCUUGUUGGUGGGGUAAUGGCCUACCAAGGCGGCGACGGGUAGCCGGCCUGGGGGAGUGGGCGGCAGCGGGGGAACGGCGAUACGGCCCAGGAGACUACGGGAGGAAGCAGUGGGGAGGAAUGCGUGAGGAGCGGAAGACUGAGGCAGCGAGGCUGAGUGGGGAAUGACGGGCUUCGGGUUGUAGACUUCUUGCGACAGCGAGGAAGCGACCUGGUUGGAAGGGUGGUGACGGUAAUGGGAGAAGAAGCACCGGCUAACUACGUG